Molecule: ribosomal RNA, 241 nt
Filed under: uncultured bacterium
Lineage: Bacteria
Description: partial 16S ribosomal RNA
Rfam family: Bacterial small subunit ribosomal RNA
Source: RNAcentral
CGACCGGCGCACGGGUGAGUAACGCGUAUGUAAUCUACCUGUAACAGAGGGAUAACCCGGAGAAAUCCGGACUAAUACCUCAUAGCACAUAUUAUUCGCAUGAAUUUUAUGUUAAAGAGACUCGGUUACAGAUGAACAUGCGUUCCAUUAGCUAGUUGGCGGGGUUACGGCCCACCAAGGCAACGAUGGAUAGGGGUUCUGAGAGGAAGGUCCCCCACACUGGUACUGAGACACGGGCCAG